RNAcentral lists this ribosomal RNA (770 nucleotides) under uncultured Pseudomonadota bacterium. RNAcentral describes it as "bacterial SSU rRNA". It matches the Rfam family "Bacterial small subunit ribosomal RNA", at positions 564 to 1340 of the family's 1533-position model. The record is from RNAcentral. Lineage: Bacteria; Pseudomonadati; Pseudomonadota.
AGCGAACGCAGGCGGAUGGUUAAGUCCAAAGUGAAAGGUAGGAGCUCAACUCCUACACUGCUUGGGAUACUGGCCGUCUUGAGUGGCGGAGAGGGAGAUGGAACGACACGUGUAGCGGUGAAAUGCGUUGAUAUGUGUCGGAACACCAAUGGCGAAAGCAAUCUCCUGGACGCAGACUGACGCUGAGGUUCGAAAGCCAAGGUAGCAAACAGGAUUAGAUACCCUGGUAGUCUUGGCCAUAAACGAUGUUCACUAGGUGUUGGGGCUUUGCCUCGGUGCCGCAGCUAACGCAUUAAGUGAACCGCCUGGGAACUACGAUCGCAAGAUUAAAACUCAAAGGAAUUGGCGGGGGCCCGCACAAGCGGUGGAGCAUAUGGCUUAAUUCGAUGCAACGCGAAGAACCUUACCAGGGCUUGACAUGUAUCUGCAAGCUACCGAAAAGUAGUCGCCUUCGAGGGUGAUACACAGCUGGUGCAUGGCUGUCGUCAGCUCGUGCUGUGAAAUGUUGGGUUAAGUCCCGCAACGAGCGCAACCCUCAUGUUUUGUUGCCAGCGGGUAAUGCCGGGAACUCGAAACAAACUGCCUCUGUAAAGAGGAGGAAGGUGGGGAUGACGUCAAGUCAUCAUGCCCCUUACGCCCUGGGCUGCACAUAUGCUACAAUGGCCGGUACAAAGAGCUGCUAACCCGCGAGGGCGUGCAAAUCUCAAAAAGCCGGUCUCAGUUCGGAUUGGAGUCUGCAACUCGACUCCAUGAAGUUGGAAUCGCUAGUA